UCAUUUUGUUGUGUGAGGAAUGGCACUGCGGAGAUUCUAAAGUUAACAUUAAAAUACCUUUAUGUUUUUUUCUUUUUGAAAAUAGGUCAUUUUAUGCCACCUGAAAAAGUACAUAAAGAACUCUUUAAAGACUGGAAUAUUCCAUUUAAGCAGCCAUCAUAUCCAUCAGUGAAACGGUAUAAUCGGAAUCGGACACUAACACAAAAGCUACGGAUGGAGGAGCGAUUUAAAAAGAAAGAAAGAUUACUCAGGAAGAAAUUAGCUAAAAAAGGAAUUGAUUAUGAUUUUCCUUCUUUGAUUUUACAGAAAACGGAAAGUAUUUCAAAAACUAAUCGUCAGACGUCUACAAAAGGCCAGGUUUUACGUAAGAAGAAGAAAAAAGUUUCAGGUACUCUUGACACUCCUGAGAAGACUGUGGAUAGCCAGGGCCCCACACCAGUUUGUACACCAACAUUUUUGGAGAGGCGAAAAUCUCAAGUGGCUGAACUGAAUGAUGAUGAUAAAGAUGAUGAAAUAGUUUUCAAACAGCCCAUAGCCUGUGUAAAAGAAGAAAUACAAGAGACUCAAACACCUACACAUUCACGGAAAAAAAGACGAAGAAGAAGCAAUCAGUGAUUUUCAAUGUAUUAUAUUUCUUUUGAAAAAUAUAAUAUUUUUAUGAGA
RNAcentral lists this small RNA (663 nucleotides) under Pan troglodytes (chimpanzee). RNAcentral describes it as "retained intron". Lineage: Eukaryota; Metazoa; Chordata; Mammalia; Primates; Hominidae. The record is from RNAcentral.